GACGAACGCUGGCGGCGUGCCUAAUACAUGCAAGUCGAACGAGAGCGACCGGUGCUUGCACUGGUCAAUCUAGUGGCGAACGGGUGAGUAACACGUGGGUAACCUGCCCAUCAGAGGGGGAUAACAUCCGGAAACGGAUGCUAAAACCGCAUAGGUCUUCGAGCCGCAUGGCUUGAAGAGGUAAAGAGGCGCAAGCUUCUGCUGAUGGAUGGACCCGCGGUGCAUUAGCUAGUUGGUGAGGUAACGGCUCACCAAGGCCGUGAUGCAUAGCCGACCUGAGAGGGUGAUCGGCCACAUUGGGACUGAGACACGGCCCAAACUCCUACGGGAGGCAGCAGUAGGGAAUCUUCCGCAAUGGACGCAAGUCUGACGGAGCAACGCCGCGUGAGUGAAGAAGGUUUUCGGAUCGUAAAACUCUGUUGUUAGAGAAGAACAAGUGCUAGAGUAACUGUUAGCGCCUUGACGGUAUCUAACCAGAAAGCCACGGCUAACUACGUGCCAGCAGCCGCGGUAAUACGUAGGUGGCAAGCGUUGUCCGGAUUUAUUGGGCGUAAAGCGAGCGCAGGCGGUUCCUUAAGUCUGAUGUGAAAGCCCCCGGCUCAACCGGGGAGGGUCAUUGGAAACUGGGGAACUUGAGUGCAGAAGAGGAGAGUGGAAUUCCAUGUGUAGCGGUGAAAUGCGUAGAUAUAUGGAGGAACACCAGUGGCGAAGGCGACUCUCUGGUCUGUAACUGACGCUGAGGCUCGAAAGCGUGGGUAGCAAACAGG
This 767-nucleotide ribosomal RNA is filed under the name uncultured Granulicatella sp. RNAcentral's name for it is "bacterial SSU rRNA". It matches the Rfam family "Bacterial small subunit ribosomal RNA", at positions 28 to 776 of the family's 1533-position model. Lineage: Bacteria; Bacillati; Bacillota; Bacilli; Lactobacillales; Carnobacteriaceae. The record is from RNAcentral.